GACGAACGCUGGCGGCGUGCUUAACACAUGCAAGUCGAACGGUGAAGCGCUUUCCUUUUUGGUUGGUGUGGAUGAGUGGCGAACGGGUGAGUAACACGUGAGUAACCUGCCCCCUUCUUCUGGAUAACCGCAUGAAAGUGUGGCUAAUACGGGAUAUUCUGCGCCUGCUGCAUGGUGGGUGUGGGAAAGAUUGUGCCUUUGGGUGUUUUCGGUGGGGGAUGGGCUCGCGGCCUAUCAGCUUGUUGGUGGGGUGAUGGCCUACCAAGGCGGUGACGGGUAGCCGGCCUGAGAGGGUGGACGGUCACACUGGGACUGAGACACGGCCCAGACUCCUACGGGAGGCAGCAGUGGGGAAUAUUGCACAAUGGGCGCAAGCCUGAUGCAGCGACGCCGCGUGAGGGAUGGAGGCCUUCGGGUUGUGAACCUCUUUCGCCAGUGAAGCAGGCCUGCUCCUUGUGGUGGGUUGACGGUAGCUGGAUAAGAAGCGCCGGCUAACUACG
This 500-nucleotide ribosomal RNA is filed under the name uncultured bacterium. RNAcentral describes it as "partial 16S ribosomal RNA". It matches the Rfam family "Bacterial small subunit ribosomal RNA", at positions 28 to 505 of the family's 1533-position model. The record is from RNAcentral.